Long non-coding RNA from Gossypium arboreum, 564 nucleotides. RefSeq lists it as uncharacterized. The record is from RefSeq and is a predicted model, not a curated record. NCBI's taxonomy places the organism in Eukaryota, Viridiplantae, Streptophyta, Magnoliopsida, Malvales, Malvaceae. The transcript is spliced from 3 exons.
AUACUGAAAUUGAGCUUCAACCAGAUAUGACUUAUUCAGAAGAACCAGUGAAGAUUUUGGCUCGUGAAGUUAAGGAAUUGCGGAACAAAAGAGUACCAUUGGUUAAAGUAUUAUGGCAUCGACAUGGUAUGGAGGAGGCAACCUGGGAAACAGAGGAGUCAAUAAGAUCACAGUAUCCAAAUCUAUUUUCAGAUCAAGAAUCCAAAGAAGAACGAGGAAAAGAAAAAGUUGCGGAAUAGUCCCAAAAUUUUAAUAUCUUCUACAAAUUAGCCGGAUUGACUUGAAGUGAAGUGGGUAGAUCGGAUCAACACAACAAAGCACACUAUCCAGAUCAAUUCUGGUAGCUUUUGUUUUAUGUUUGAAGAUUUAUAUGGCAUGUAUAGAGUUUAAAUGAAAUGAAGUAAAGAUGUUAUAAACUAGUUAACAACAUUUUGUACUAAAAUAGUUUUUGGUUAGUAGCAGUAGUCUGAGUUUGAAAAUUCACCAUAAAUCAUAAAAAUAUAAUUAUAGGUUGAAUAAAAUAUGAAAUUAAAUCUUAUUGAAUCUAGUUUCACAUAGAAGAAA